RNAcentral lists this long non-coding RNA (471 nucleotides) under Brassica napus (rape). RNAcentral's name for it is "long non-coding RNA (BNAP_LNC020753)". The record is from RNAcentral. Lineage: Eukaryota; Viridiplantae; Streptophyta; Magnoliopsida; Brassicales; Brassicaceae.
UGUGUUAGUGAUAGCAUCGGGGCUUAGCGAGAAUCUAUAUGGAAGUUAGAAAUUAAUGACUAUGAGGAGAUCCAGGAAAACAUACCGGAGACCAAGCACGUGGAGUUAAUGUAUUGUAUUGGCAUGUACUCAUAACCCUCGAUAGGAGAGGAGACUAGUCCUUAAUGGAAUAAGGAUUAGGAUAUGGAUAUAAGCUAUCUUGGUGUUGAAGGCUGAAGAGUUUGGUGGAAAGGGGAAUGAUUGUAUUUGGAAGUGGAAGCUCUAAGUAUUGGAUACCAUUCCAGUAGUAGUCGAGUAUGCAGACGCUUUUGAGCAUUUUUAAAGACCCACUGAACUGAGAUAGUGCAUACACCAUAGAGCAGAAAUACAAAACAUCGUCUAGUCAAAGGAAUCAUAUCGGUUAGCACCAUAUAGUUCGUUGAGUUUUUGGAACCUACAGCAAGUAGCUUUGGAGUUCACUAAGAGCGAUUU